AUGUUUAGAAGUUUAAUUACCUUUAACCUAAUCUGCAAGUCUGGAUGUGUAUGUAUUAAAAAUGAAAUACAAAAACAUGUUCUGUGUGAAGGUCUUAUGGCUCCUAAGUCAGACUGUUGUACAAUGGAUUAUUAAUAAUUGAUUAAAACUAUUUGGAUAUAAUAACAAUAAUAAUAAUAAUAACGAUGUAUUGUUUUAAUAGGUGUAUAUUUAUGAAUUUGUCAUAAAAUAUUAAUUUUAGAAUAUAAUUGUUACGAAUGACUCGAGCGGUUGGAGGCUCCGAUUGACAGAGGAAACAGUUGGUCAUGGUUAACAGUGCUUUUUAUUACGGUGCACAGCGACAGUCACUCAAUAGUGGUGGGAAGAAAACAAAACAACAACAAAAAAAAAACCUUAGAUACAACCGAAUAUAAACUGCACCAAACAUAAGGUCAACGCAAUCUAUAUCAAUAAACACAACCUGACCUGUAUGUGCAACUGCCCUACAUAAGCAGCACUUCCCCAGAGACUCUCUCCUCGCCUCCUAUCUCUGAACUAUCCUGCUAACGUUCUGGAGCCAUUUUAUAGGCCCGACUCCUCCUACUCCAGAACAUACCAUAUGAAAGCUAUGAGAAUGGACUCUCCGGUGACAUCACUCACAGGAACAAGAUGGCGGACACAAAGACCUAUAAAUAGACCGGAUGUCUAACUGAACAGGUUUGGCAAAUGACUCUUGGAAAUAACAUGGACAAAUGAACUGUGGUAAGCAUAAUCUGCAUCUCUCUUACACUGUAUUCAAUAAAUAAUUUGAAUCAAAUACUUGUAGUGGUGAUUUAUUUCUAUAUAUGCGAAAAGACAAUUCUAUUAUGCUAUCAUCAUAUGGUUACUAGUUCUCACAUAACUCAGGUAAAACUACAUACAGGACAUCAUACAGCCAAUUUACAACACACAGUGACAUCGAAUGUUACACAGGUCCAUGCCUACAUGAAUCUAUGUCGGCUAACAGACUACAAUACAUGACACAGGUGUAUGUGUGUGUAGUCCAUGCAUAGUCGCAGGCUCACCCUGUGACAAUAAUCAUAUUCUAAAAUAAAUACACAUAUUACAUUAAUCA
Molecule: long non-coding RNA, 1093 nt
Organism: Cyprinus carpio (common carp)
Lineage: Eukaryota; Metazoa; Chordata; Actinopteri; Cypriniformes; Cyprinidae
Source: Ensembl